RNAcentral lists this ribosomal RNA (253 nucleotides) under uncultured bacterium. RNAcentral's name for it is "partial 16S ribosomal RNA". It matches the Rfam family "Bacterial small subunit ribosomal RNA", at positions 524 to 776 of the family's 1533-position model. The record is from RNAcentral.
UACGGGGGGGGCAAGCGUUGUUCGGAAUUACUGGGCGUAAAGGGCUCGUAGGCGGCCAACUAAGUCAGACGUGAAAUCCCCAGGCUUAACCUGGGAACUGCGUCUGAUACUGGAUGGCUUGACUUCGGGAGAGGGAUGCAGAAUUCCAGGUGUAGCGGUGAAAUGCGUAGAUAUCUGGAGGAAUACCGGUGGCGAAGGCGGCAUCCUGGACCGAGAUUGACGCUGAUGAGCGAAAGCUAGGGGAGCAAACGGG